This 568-nucleotide ribosomal RNA is filed under the name Salmonella enterica subsp. enterica serovar Enteritidis. Its description in RNAcentral is "partial 23S ribosomal RNA". It matches the Rfam family "Bacterial large subunit ribosomal RNA", at positions 1 to 604 of the family's 2925-position model. The record is from RNAcentral. Lineage: Bacteria; Pseudomonadati; Pseudomonadota; Gammaproteobacteria; Enterobacterales; Enterobacteriaceae.
GAGGUUAAGCGACUAAGCGUACACGGUGGAUGCCCUGGCAGUCAGAGGCGAUGAAGGGCGUGCUAAUCUGCGAUAAGCGCCGGUAAGGUGAUAUGAACCGUUAUAACCGGCGAUACCCGAAUGGGGAAACCCAGUGUGAUUCGUCACACUAUCAUUAACUGAAUCCAUAGGUUAAUGAGGCGAACCGGGGGAACUGAAACAUCUAAGUACCCCGAGGAAAAGAAAUCAACCGAGAUUCCCCCAGUAGCGGCGAGCGAACGGGGAGGAGCCCAGAGCCUGAAUCAGCAUGUGUGUUAGUGGAAGCGUCUGGAAAGGCGCGCGAUACAGGGUGACAGCCCCGUACACAAAAGCGCAUGUGCUGUGAGCUCGAUGAGUAGGGCGGGACACGUGGUAUCCUGUCUGAAUAUGGGGGGACCAUCCUCCAAGGCUAAAUACUCCUGACUGACCGAUAGUGAACCAGUACCGUGAGGGAAAGGCGAAAAGAACCCCGGCUAGGGGAGUGAAAAAGAACCUGAAACCGUGUACGUACAAGCAGUGGGAGCACAGGUUUACCUGUGUGACUGCGUAC